AUCACCUGGGGAUCUUGUUAAAAUGCAGAUUUUGAUUCAGCAGGUCUGGGGUGGGGCCUGAGACUCUGCAUUUCAAACAAUCUCCCAGGUGAUGCCAG
This 98-nucleotide microRNA precursor is filed under the name Equus asinus (donkey). RNAcentral describes it as "mir-544 microRNA precursor family". It matches the Rfam family "mir-544 microRNA precursor family". The record is from Rfam by way of RNAcentral. Lineage: Eukaryota; Metazoa; Chordata; Mammalia; Perissodactyla; Equidae. RNAcentral also lists the same sequence under 1 other name.